This is a long non-coding RNA of Nicotiana attenuata, 349 nucleotides long. RefSeq lists it as uncharacterized. The transcript has 2 exons. NCBI's taxonomy places the organism in Eukaryota, Viridiplantae, Streptophyta, Magnoliopsida, Solanales, Solanaceae. The record is from RefSeq and is a predicted model, not a curated record.
CCGGACAGAUUCGCAGUCCAGUCGAGUUUGUAUGCAAGUUUUCCGGCGUUCUAUUUUGUCUUUGCUCGCAUCAAAUAGCGGCGUUGUAAAGUUUUUUUUUUGCAAAGGAUCAAUUUAAUGAGGAAAGCUUUUUGAAGAUCUGCUACUUUAUCUCAUCUCUGGUUUAUUUGAUUGUGCCGUAUGAAAACUCAAUUUUUUUAAGCUCUUUUGUUCUUUAUUUUUGUAAGAUGGUUUUUAUAGGCUAUUAUUGAGUUUUAGAAUAACUUAGGCAGUAUUUGGAAAAUUUUGCGAUCCAUGUCUACUUGAACUUCCCGUUGUUGGUAUGGAAUUCUCUGAUAAAUUCAUAAGA